UCUUUUAAUCCCCUCACCCCCGAGCCCUACCCUCUCCUCCCGAUUCUUUCCCUCUUCGCGACACCGCCUUAACUUUGCCGAUCCUCUUCCUCUGUCAUCUCCGUCAUCGCCGAGUACAACCGUCGCCGAGUGUAGUCGUCGCCGAGUGCAACCGUCACCGGAAGGAAGGAGCAACGCCUUCCCCGCGCCUCCUUUGUGCCCUAGCUUCCGACCCAUCGUCGAUCACCAACAAGAUCGCCCCGACCGGCUGGCCACCUCGCUGGUGUGGAUUUCCCCAAUCGCGCCGAAUUCUCUCAUCUCCUCUGUGAUCUUGCCUCUCCCGAUCUGGUCGCUGCCACCUCGACGCCUCCUUCUUAUUCUUGGUCGCAGACAUCAAGCAUCUGUUAGAAGCCGAGCACCCGAAUUCACCACUCUGACCGAGUCCUAGCCACCGAUCCAUCGUCGUCCGAUCGUGUUGGAUCCUUGCUUGAGGUCACCUCUCGAUCUCUCCUCCCUUCUCUCAGUCCUAAUUGUGUCGAUCACAGGUUGCUAGGCAUUGAUGCCGACGACCAUAGAGGAUCAGAUAUCACUGCUUCGUUGUCUUCCUCCUCACCUGCAUCGUCGCUACCCUGAUGCCAUCGCUCGAUCUAGAUUUAAUUGCUGUCGACCACUGUGAGCAGCCACCGGAAGAGUUGUGUGAUAUCAGGUAGAGGUAUGUGGAGUCACUUGGAGUAUCCUGUCUGUCGAUCCUACGUCACAUCCGAAGACCUAUUUUCGAUUUUAUUUGUACUUUAUUUGGUUUAUGUAUUUGGUGUACUUAGCAGUGUAUAUUCUGGUUUUGUUUCUGGAUUGUUGUGAUGUGGUGUCUUGUAUUGUUUUUAUUAUAUUGUGUAAGCUUAGCCGGCUAGUAGCCCUUGUUUUGUUUA
Zingiber officinale is the source of this 905-nucleotide long non-coding RNA. RefSeq lists it as uncharacterized. The transcript is spliced from 2 exons. Lineage: Eukaryota; Viridiplantae; Streptophyta; Magnoliopsida; Zingiberales; Zingiberaceae. The record is from RefSeq and is a predicted model, not a curated record.